This 225-nucleotide ribosomal RNA is filed under the name uncultured Cloacibacterium sp. Its description in RNAcentral is "partial 16S ribosomal RNA". It matches the Rfam family "Bacterial small subunit ribosomal RNA", at positions 568 to 792 of the family's 1533-position model. The record is from RNAcentral. Lineage: Bacteria; Pseudomonadati; Bacteroidota; Flavobacteriia; Flavobacteriales; Weeksellaceae.
UCCGUAGGCGGGCUUAUAAGUCAGUGGUGAAAUCCUAUCGCUUAACGAUAGAACUGCCAUUGAUACUGUAAGUCUUGAGUGUAGUUGAGGUAGCUGGAAUAAGUAGUGUAGCGGUGAAAUGCAUAGAUAUUACUUAGAACACCAAUUGCGAAGGCAGGUUACCAAGUUACAACUGACGCUGAGGGACGAAAGCGUGGGGAGCGAACAGGAUUAGAUACCCCAGUA